Molecule: long non-coding RNA, 548 nt
Filed under: Phoenix dactylifera (date palm)
Lineage: Eukaryota; Viridiplantae; Streptophyta; Magnoliopsida; Arecales; Arecaceae
Description: long non-coding RNA (PDAC_LNC009816)
Source: RNAcentral
AGAGAGUGUGUAUAUGGAGAAGACACAGUAUUUUUAUCAGAUCAAGAAGAUGAAGGGGAUGAUGUCAUCAAUUGUGUCUGUGCUUCCAGGGGGGUUUAGUCCCGAGGGUUCGUCCCCUUUUCCGUUGUGUUGUUUCUUCCCUUCUCCCAGGUUCUCUUUUAUAGAAGGGGAUUACGUUACCUGGGAGGUGACAGGAGAAUUUGUCCCUUUCCGUAAUAAUUGGACACGAUUUGGCCCAUUAAUGGCGUAGUGGAGAACGGGACCGAAUCAGACCGGAACCAGGGAGUUGUCACGGUCGAUCGGACCUGUUGGAGUAGUUGAACUGCCGGCCGUGGCGGACCCGGGGUCCGUGGAUGGUAAGUGCAUUUAUUACCGAAUGAACCGGCGGUCAGGGAGAGCCAUACGCUCUGAUGGUUCAGUGAUCCGGAGAUCGUCUUGGGCCGUGUUCAUUAAAUGACUGAGUGCAUCGGAGACUUGAGAGGGUCUCAUGCAUUAAUGACAAGUCGUGCUGAAUGCCUGCGAAGAUCUUAUGCCUUGAUGGCUUGAAG